This is a long non-coding RNA of Ictalurus punctatus (channel catfish), 1136 nucleotides long. The record is from Ensembl. NCBI's taxonomy places the organism in Eukaryota, Metazoa, Chordata, Actinopteri, Siluriformes, Ictaluridae.
UGAGACCAAGAUAAACUUAUUUGGUUCAGAUGGUGUCAAGUGUGUGUGGCAGGCAACCAGGUGAGGAGUACAAAGACAAGUGUGUCUUGCCUACAGUCAAGCAUGGUGGUGGUAGUGUCAUGGUCUGGGGCUGCAUGAGUGCUGCCGGCACUGGGGAGCUACAGUUCAUUGUGGGAACCAUGAAUGCCAGCAUGUACUGUCACAUACUGAAGCAGAGCAUGAUCAGUAUGCAGUAUUCCAGCAUGAUAAGGACCCCAAACACACCUCCAAGACGACCACUGCCUUGCUAAAGAAGCUGAGGGUGAAGGUGAUGGACUGGCCAAGCAUGUCUCCAGACCUAAACCCUAUUGAGCAUCUGUGGGGCAUCCUCAAACAGAAGGUGGAGGAGCACAAGGUCUCUAACAUCCACCAGCUCCCGGUUUAGACAUUAAUGGCUGUGUGGUGAGUUAUUUUGAGGGGACAGCAAAUUUACACUGUUACACAAGCUGUACACUCACUACUUUACAUUGUAGCAAAGUGUCAUUUCUUCAGUGUUGUCACAUUAAAAGAUAUAAUCAAAUAUUUACAAAAAUGUGAGGGGUGUACUCACUUUUGUGAGAUACUGUAUAUGAUUUGAAGCUGAUCAGUUGAGGUUUACAUUCGUUUUUUUCUUAAUUUUUUUUUAAAUAAUUUUUUUUAUAAAUGCCAAAUUUCUUGUGUAAAUGCUUCUUUUAACGAUAUACAAAUAAAUCUGUUCAUAUCCAGCUUGAUUUACGAGGCCUGUUGUAUGUCAAUAAUGUAGUAGUGUGAGAAACUAUUAGUGUGUAAACUCGUGUGUAAACUAAACUAGUAGUGUGAGAAAUGAGAAACAAUUUAAUGUGCGUGGAUGAAAACAUGUUAGUUAUUGUUUUGUCAUCUUAUUGGUUGGUUACAUGUUUGUUUCUCAUUCUUUCCACAGGCUAAGAGUUUGGACAGGCACCAUUUCUCUCCUGAACGUCUUUCUGUCUCUGUCAGCAGUUUUGUGUAGUGUUUAAUUUAAAAAAAACAAUUGUCAUGCAUAUUUGAACAAUAAACAAAUCUAAAUGAUCAGCUUUCAUUGUGUCCAUACUUUAAAUCUUCAUCUCACAGAUUAAGGGCACAGGAGAUGCACACUUGGG